AUGAAUGUUUUCACAAAACAAAAAAAUAAAAGGGAUGAAAAGGAAGGAUUGUGCGCGAUCAAACUUGAUAUGCAUAAAGCUUAUGACCGAGUGGAGUGGGUUUUUCUGAAGGAGAUCAUGUUGAGAUUAGUCUUCCAAGAGAGUUGGGUCAACUUUAUCAUGCAAUGUGUUUCUACCGUUGAGUAUCGAGUUAGAUUUAAUUCGGAAGAAACUGAGAGUUUUAAGCCAUCCAGAGGUUUACGACAAGGAGACCCGUUAUUGCCUUAUUUAUUUUUGCUAUGUACUGAGGGGUUGUCUGCUCUCUUGUCACAUGCGGAGGAAAGUGGGAAAAUUGAAGGUAUGAAAGUGUGUAGAGAGGCACCACCGAUUACGAAUCUUCUUUUUGCGGAUGACUCAUUGAACCUGAUGAAGGCAAGUAUUCACAAUGCAGAGGCUUUGAAAACCAUUCUGGACUCGUAUUGUAAAGCAUCGGGGCAAUUGAUCAGUGUUGAUAAAUCAAGUAUAUUUUUCAGCCCCAAUACAAAAGUGGAAAUCAAGGAGCAACUAUGUACAACACUCAAUAUCAUGACUGAAGCUCUCGGUGAUAAAUAUCUAGGGUUGCCGGCUAAUGUGGGUAUGGAUAAAUCUGACUGUUUUCAGUAUCCGUUUGACCGUAUCAUCAUGAAGAUAAGUGGAUGGAAAGAAAAACUUUUAUCCGUGGGAGGGAAGGAAAUCCUCUUGAAAUUUGUUAUACAAGCUAUCCCCACCUAUGCGAUGUUCGUCUUUAAAAUUCCUAAAAAAAAUUGUAAGGGAAUCACUGAUGCGAUAUCUCAUUUCUGGUGGGGGGACGAGGAUAAUCAUAAGCAGAUGCAUUGGAUGGCUUGGUGGAAAAUGUGUGUACCCAAAAAUCAAGGGGGCAUGGGAUUCCGGGAUAUUCAUUGUUUCAACCUAGCAAUGCUGGCAAAACAAGCGUGGCGUAUUAUUGAGAAUCCAGACUCCUUAUGUGCGACCGUGUUGAGAGCUAAAUAUUUCCCAAAUGAUGAUUUAUUGAAUACAAAGCUAAAAAAUGGCUCUUCUUUUACUUGGCAAAGUAUUAUGGAAGGGGUUAAUUGUCUAAAUCUUGGUUAUAUUUGGCGUGUUGGAAAUGGUCACAACAUUGAUAUUCGGGAAGAUGCUUGGAUUCCUAAUUAUGCAAAUAGAAAAGUAAUCACACUGAGAGGGAGUAAUUUGAUCUCAAAGGUAUAUGAUUUAAUUGAUCCUGCUACUAGUAAUUGGGACAAAAAUUUGGCCACACAAAUGUUCUGGCAGUUGAUGCACAAAGGGUCCUUGCAAUUCCUUUGUCACAACAUGAUAUGUCGGAUUUUGUCGCUUGGAGCUAUUCAAAGAAUGGAACUUUUUUUGUUCGAUCACCCUAUGUAG
RNAcentral lists this ribosomal RNA (1398 nucleotides) under Triticum aestivum (bread wheat). RNAcentral's name for it is "partial small subunit ribosomal RNA". Lineage: Eukaryota; Viridiplantae; Streptophyta; Magnoliopsida; Poales; Poaceae. The record is from RNAcentral.